This 5333-nucleotide long non-coding RNA is filed under the name Nicotiana tabacum (common tobacco). Its description in RNAcentral is "long non-coding RNA (NTAB_LNC002983)". Lineage: Eukaryota; Viridiplantae; Streptophyta; Magnoliopsida; Solanales; Solanaceae. The record is from RNAcentral.
UGGCCAUGCUCCAUAAGAGAUGAAAGAGGCAGCCGAAAAACUCCCACUUCUAGGCCUACUGCUGUCUCCAACUUUUACCAAAAUCAAAGACCCUCAUCUUCACGCAACUCUCAUUCCUCUAUACACACUCCCUUUCUUUCACCUUCAUUGACAGAACACACACACACGCCUAAGCAGCUAAAGUUUAAAGAGUUCAGAUCCGAAAUUCAAGAUUGUUUCAAGUCUGGAAGAUCAAUUUAAGCUCAAAUCCUUGUUUGAUUCUACUGUAUGUUGCUGAAUCUGCAGACUGUUGUGUUCGGCUGAGCUCCAUUCCUUUACCUUUGCCUUGAUUUGGUUGUUUCCCGUCUUUUGCACGCUUAGGUACACAUCGGCGAACUUGUAUUAUUAUUAUUUUUUUGAAUUCUAGCAUGUUUAAAUUUCUAUGCACUUUUAUGAAAUCCAGAUCUGUUUUUGUUUUAUCUUACAUGAUGGUAAUCUUUUUGAUAAAAUGUUUGAUUAUGAUAACCCAUUAGUAUGUAAGUUAGAUUGUGAAAUUUUCUUAAAUUUGUCCACUUAUGUGUCCAUUGAAUGCUCCUGCUUUUUAAUUAGAGCUUUAAAGGGGUAACGAUUCUCUUGAGAUUGAGGUACACAGUACAUUAUAGUCAAUGAAAUUAUGAGUUUAUGUUCAAGAUGCCAAGGCACUUAUGACGUUGUUUCAUCAAGGUUUUCUUUAGCAUAAUGAUUUUAUAGAAUUUUCUUAAAAGUUGGUAUAUGUUUUUUUAUUUUUAUUUUGGUGAGUUUUGUUUUCUACUCAUUUCUCCCUUACCAUAGCUUAUUUAGUUUAAAAUCACAAUUCAAAAGUACAAUGUUAUAUUUGAGAUUUGAAAGAAAAGAUUGAAGUUGGAUUUGUGCUUGGUUAGUAAUGAAAAGGAAUUCCCGUGGUCCAAUAUAUUCCGACUGUUAUCCUUUGCUUAAUUGCAUAAAGAAUUGAUCUAAAAUUGUAAACUUUUUGAAAUGAGCAGUGUACUUAUUUGGCACAAGUUUUUUCUUGCUUUGCAUUGUAGUUUCGUCCAUAUUCACUUCUGAAAUCAUUUGAAUUAGCUAAAUGCGUUUUUGCAAGUUUCGUGUAGUAACAACAUCAAGGGAAGUGACAUAAUGACCUUUUAAAGAUGUUUACGUCCUAAAUGAAUCAUAUAUAUCCUUGCUCACUUCGUUCAUUUCUUCGCUGUAAGUUAAUAAUGCUAUACACGUGUACACGUUCGCGCGACAUGGUUAUGAUCCUAACAAAUAAAUUGAGGUAUGCGUUCGCGCAACUUCGACCACACUUUCUUAAUAUUUAAUAAAGCGUGAUGAAUUGUUAAAAUAAAAACGCAGCUCCCUUUUGUUAAAAUAAGUGAGGUGUGCCAUGCCAAACAAAAUUUAUAAUUCAUGGCCCUUGUAAGAUUAGAUUAAGAACUAACACUUAUAGAAAAUAUUUGAGGUGUGCCAUAAAUAAAUUAAACCAUCCAUGACCCUCACAAAUGUUGCUUCUUAAAAAUUGAAAUCGUAGUUUGCUUUAGGCUCGAUUUAGACUAGUAUUGUGAUUAUGUAUACGUUCGCGUAACAUAAUUGCGAAUUUAAUUCUAAUAAUAACUCGAGGGAUGCGUUCGCGUAACUUCAACCGAACUAUCUUCAUAAAAUAAACAAAGCGUUACUAAUUGUGGACACGUUCGCGUGACAUGAUUUUGACGCGCUAAGGGAAAAGAGUUUACGUACGCGUUACUUAAUUCUUUAAUUACGAACAAAUCAAGUGAUUAAAAGCACUAACAAAGAUAAAUGCACAUAGGUCCUAAAAAUAAGUAGUUAAACAAUUUAAGCCAAGUAAUAAUCACUAAGCGAUCAUGCUAGAACCACGGAACCCGGGAAUGCCUAACACCUUCUCCCGGGUUAAUAGAAUUCCUUAUCAUGAAUUUCUGGUUCGCAGACGUUUAAGAGAAAGUCAAAACUUUCUCGAUUUGGGAUUUAAAAUAAACUGGUGACUUGGGACACCAAAUCAGCUAUUCCAAGUGGCGACUCCGAUAAAUUAAAUAAUCGCAUUUCGAAUAAUGUCACUUUAAUUGGAAAAACUCUCAUAUACCCUCGGGGUGUAAAAAAGGAGGUGUAACAACACCCUGAUGUCGGGCUUUCUUUCCGCGCUGUUGUUUUGAUUUAAAAUCCUUAUGUAGGUUUAUUGUUAAAUAGCUUUGGUUUUAUCUUAAAAAUGAAAAUAUUGAUUGGUUUUGGUAGUGUGUCGGCUUGCCUAGUACCACGUUAGGUGCCAUCAUGACAGGGUUAGUUUUAGGUCGUGACACACUGCCCAAAAGAACUCUUCAUUUAUGCGGAAAAACCAUCGCGUUCACGAUGAAGAAAAUGAAUUGCCACCAAAAUGCCUUACGCGUUCGCGAAGUUACCCACGCGAGCGCGAUGCGCAAAAAUGCCACACAACGUGAAAACAUCCCACGACUCGCGGAUGCGAAGAAGAGUGCUCCAGCUCCUAUCUCACCAUCAUGAACCCGAUUACACAAACGCAAACGUGAAGUUCAAGUCCCACAUGCACUACGAACAUGACUCAAUACUCGCGAACACGAAGAGAUAAAAUAGGCCAGUCCAAAUCCUUGUUCGCGAUCGCGAUGACUCCGACGCGAACGCGAUUCACUACUGUUGAUACCUAAUUUUCCCUCAUAUAUUUCUAAAAAUGCAUAUAUACUCUCAAAAUAUUGCAUGAGCAUCAGCCAAUAUUUUUCCAUAUUUUUUUGUAUUUUUAAAAGGAUUUUAAUUAGUUUAUUCCAACAUUUUAUUAUCUAAAUAAUUACUAAUUGCAUCACAAAGAAUUUUAUAAUGGUUUAUUACUUGAUUUGUAUCAUUUAUAUUAAGCUUUAAUCAUUUUCUGCAUAAUUAUAUUUGUAUCUUUAGGCUAUAAUUGCAAUAACUUUGCAAUAAUAGCCCGUAUAUGCAUAAUUACAUUAUUUACACGAAAAAUGACUUUUUAUAUUUUUAUAAUAUUAAGUAAUUAUUUUAAAUCAUUUUCAUAUAUAAAUAGCAUUUUUAUCAAUUAUAAAUUAUUUUAUUAAUUUAAGUGGGUAUUUAAAACAUAACCCUUUUUAGUUAAAUUUCGGUCCUCCCAGCCCAAUACUAGCCAGCCCAAUUAUCCUAACCUAUAACGCAAUACCCAAACCCAAGUACCCAUACCCGCCCUGCCUAAACCUAAUCUUGGCCGUUGAUCUCAGAAGAUCAACGACCCUAAAUUCCCCAACCCCUUAUAAUAUAUCAAAAACCCCCCAAACCCUAUCUCAUUUCUCCCAACCCGCCGCCUCUGGAUCCCUUCUCUCAUCUCUUCUCUCUCUCUCACCCCCUCUAACCCUAGCCCGCCGUCAGUGAUAUCCCCCUUGAUUCAUGGGGUUUUCCUCUGAUUUCAUGCCUUAUCUGGUCUCACCUCUCUACUGGUUAUAUAAUUUUUAUGUUGCUUGAUGUGAAUCUCAAGAGACUCGAACCAAAUCUAGUUCAAAGUCUCUCAUUUCUCGAUUAUUCCGUCUAUGUUCACUCCGAUACUUGUGAGUACGAGUAUUUUCGUAUUCUAGGGGUCUCAAAUCUCCGGUUCAAACUAGAUUUGAGUCGCUUCUGUCUAUUUUCAUGAACCUAGCGAUUUUCUGGUUGAAUCCGUUUAGAUCUCUUUAGAUCUGAAGCAAUUUUGCGUUUGUUUGGUAUUUCUCUCUUAAAAUUUUCUAUUUUUACUAUUAUUAUUGACCGAUUUCAUUUACCCUAAAAGCUAAUGUUUUGAUUUCCGUUGGAUUUAUGCAAAAAUGGGUUUUAGCGUUUAAAUGUUUUCAUCUCUGAUUUUCUUAUUUACUUUUUCGAGUGAUUUUUACUUGAUUUAAUUAAGCUCCAUCUAUAUGUCUUUGUAUUUCUUAGGGUUCCGAUUAUUUGACUAUUUAUUCUACUGUCUUUUGCCCGUUUACCUUUAAUUCUGUCAAUUAAGUGUUAAUUGAUUUACUUAUCUAAAUUAGGGUUUGAAUUCAGUACUCGCAUUUCCUUAUUAAGAUUUUAACUGUUCUUACCUUAUUUAUGUGAUUUAUUAUCCGUACUAUUGGCUUGAUUUUGUGUUUUGACUCCUAAUUGAUUUUUGAAUUAGUUCUUACCUUAUUUAACCUUAUUCUUAAUUAUUGAUUGAUUUCAUAUGAGAUUUUCCUUAAAUUAAGUGAUACUUACUCGAUUUUGUCCUGUUAAUUGAUUCAUGUUGACCUUAAUUGAUUGUUAAUUGAUUUAUCAUACCUUGUUUGUGUGUGAUUGGUUCGCUACCUUAUUUGUUUUACUCUACUGCAUGCUAUAAAAGCCACUCCCUUGUCCUAAUCUUACACAGACACACUGAGACACUUACACACUUUACAACUUAAAACUCUCAAGCUUUCUGUUCUCUGAAAAAACUGAGUUCUCUCUUCCGGUUAUUCUAAUUUACUGCACUGUCUGGCCGGCUAAAGCCAAGGCUAGAUAAUCUGGAUUUAAAUUGCCAUUUCAUUCCGGUUUACUUCUUUCUCAACUGGUAUGCUUUAAUCGUUGUUAUCCUAUUAUGUUCUAUGUGUUUAUUUAGUUAGUUUAUUUCAAAACCUCAACAUGAUUCUGUUUGCUAUAUGACUGUAUGAUUCCACCUAGUGAUAAUACUAAACUAAGUUAUCUCCAAUAAUGUGAAGCCCUAUCCAAUUCAGCUGUAUGUUCCAUGAUCUGACUAUUGUUAGGUACUACAGGCAUGUAAUAUGUGGCUAAUUCUGUUUGUUAGUUCAAGUGUCCUUGCUUUCUAUGAUUACUUUGAAUGCUGGUAUGAACAUCUAAUCUGAACAAAUAUCAACUUAUUUGAAUUAUAUGUUGAACAUAAGUUUUUUUUGUUCUUUGAUGCAGUUUUGUUACUAUUUUGUAUGUACUAAUUUCUAAACAUAUUUCCCCUUACCCUCUAUGUACUGGUUUUCAAAAUUCUACUCUUAGUCCUUUAGGUUCCUACCACCCUCAGUGUGACCACUGCCUAGGGUCCUUGAGACUUCUCUGAACUCUAACACAUUGGGGCUGGUCUUCCAAUCUUUUAUGAACUGUUUCUUUGAGUGUGGUCCUGGCGUGAGCAUUGCCCGGGGUCCCUGAGGUCCUUGGAAACUUUCACACACCAGGAGCCCAAUUUUAUGUGCUAUGGAUGUACUAUCAUUAUGCUUCAAAGUUUCUAUGUUUGAAGGCCUGGUUCCCAAGUUCAUAUUGGGCCUAUGAAGGCUCCCUAUAGUGUAAUGGAUACUGUUAUAUAAUUUAUUCAUUUUGGGCUGUAAUAAUCUCUGUAAUAAAUAGAUUUGGGUUUAUUAGUG